GCGGCGGGGCCACGCUGGCCGGCCUCGGGGCCGGGUCCCUGGCGAUUCAGGCCUUUUGCUAAGAGUUGUGACGUGCACGUGACCCCAUUGACCAGCCUUUCCCGCAUGAAUUCUUGACAACUUUCAAGAUCCAGAUGGGAAGAGGGCAGUGCUAUAGGAGGGGAGACCACUGGUGACACGCCAGGCGGAUCCAAAACCAAGCAGAAGCGCUCAGAAGCACCCUUGUCAGAACACUGGGAGAGAGACGUUGACAGCCACCAACCGAAUGCUGAACAAAGGCGGAGGAAACUGGAAAAUGAAUGCUAUGGUGAAUGCCACCGAGUCCAUGGGGACAGUAAUGAGAAAAUGAAGAUGGAUGCUUCUUGGAGCUCAGCUAACGGCUUUGCUCUGGUUCCAUCAUCUGCCUUUAAUGGUUCUGGUUCCUCUAUGGAGAUCAUUGGUUUUCAGCAAGGUCCAGUGAAGAGGCAGAGAACUGAGUUAGCUGUGUCGUCUUAGGAGUUGGGGGCCAUCCCCAAAGACCUCCAUGGCCUCUGAAUUUAAUUGUGAUAAAAAGAAAACAGCAAAAGGACCCGAAUUAGUUGUCCCCACUGGAACUCUUCCGCCUUCCCGGACGUUGUUGCCCGAGUGGGUGGAGGAAGAACUUUGGACAGAUUUCUACGCUUCCCACCCUCUGACACCUGUAGAAAAUCGUCAUUCUAGUCCAGAGAUAUUUUAAAGUACAGAGGACACGAGUGCAUAUAAGACGUGAUCCCUCCCCUCGAGCUGCUCACCUCUAGAAGACAGAUGAAAGAGGACAAAGUUAUCGGUUUCCCCCUGGACUCCUGCAAACUCCACCUGGAAGAAGCAUCUGUUCUCCAUCUCCGAGGCAGUGGUUCUCACACAUGCUCAUCACAAGAGUCCCUCAAAGGGGCAGAGUCCCAGCUGGAAUCAGGAAAUGUGAUCACAGAAGCCAGGUCAGAGUGAUGUGCCUGUUGGCUUCAAAGACGGAGGACAGGGGCCAUGAGCCAAAGGAUGUGAGCAGCCUCUAGAAGCUGGACAAGGCAAAGAUUCUCUGCCAGAGACUCUGAAAGGAACAGAGCUCCGCCGACAUCUGCGUUAGCCCAGUGAGACCCUUUUUGGACAUCUGGACUAGAGAAUGGAGCCGAUGCCUUCAUCUCUCUAACUAAGACCUGACACGUCCAUGGGGUCCAGCGGGAGGACAGGUGAACUGCUUUGGCUAUUGUGCGUGCUGUGGCUGGAGCCCGCUCAGCAUUCCAUUGGCACGGCGUUUAGAACCUGAGUCUCUGCAAACAUGAUUAAAGGAAAGGAGUUACUAGUUUUUCCUCUCUUCUGGCUGUUAUCUGGGAAGCUCUGAACUCAGAGGAGUUGCCGAGUGGGGGUGUCCUGCAUGAAAGAAGAUGGGAAGGAAAGAACUCCCCAUUUCACCUUCCUAAGCAGUGGAGGAAGGGGAUCAGAAACAGCAAGUGCUGAUGAAAACUCCACUUCCAAAUACAUUCCAUGGCUUAUUUGUGGAGGGAAAUGCUUUUUACCUUUUGAACUUUCAGAUACCUGGCAACAGCAAAUGGGUCCUCAGGGGGACAGAGAGGUGUAAAUGGAAGCUCCUGUAAACGACUGUUGGCUUUCCCCCCAGGAUCUCUGGAUCCAGGGACAUGGAAUAAAUGUCUACCAUGAUUCCAUCUGGGAUGACACGCCAGGUUACAGAGCCUAUCAGAAGAAAAACAUUGGAGCAGAACAGUAGGAUAACAGUGGAACUUUCUCCAGGAAAAGGUGAAAUGAAUCCACAGGAAAAGGAGUUCUGUCGCUUUCAUGUUUGACACUCAUACAACUGUGCUAAAGAAAACAUUUCUGGCAUAUUUUUAGCCUUAUUAUGGAAAGUGGACCCUGCUGGGUCACAUGGACAAGCUUCCAAUCCAAUAAGAGUCAGAAAUGCAAAAGAAAAAUACCCUGGGAAAGUUUCCUCCCGCUAGGACAUGGCAGGGAAUACAUUGCAUUCCCUUGUCCAGCCUAUAAUUAAGAUGAAAGGCAUAUUCCUAUCCAAUUUACCAUCCGCUGGCAUGGUUAACAUUCCAGCCUGGCUUCCCUAGCCCAGUUCGCCUAAUGCAACACAUUUUUAGGGAAAGAAAAGAAGAAAAAAAAAAAAGUAAAACACAUUUUACUCUCAAGUGUUUCACAGGAUGA
Long non-coding RNA from Phacochoerus africanus (Common warthog), 2178 nucleotides. RefSeq lists it as uncharacterized. The transcript is spliced from 14 exons. The record is from RefSeq and is a predicted model, not a curated record. Lineage: Eukaryota; Metazoa; Chordata; Mammalia; Artiodactyla; Suidae.